This 553-nucleotide ribosomal RNA is filed under the name uncultured bacterium. Its description in RNAcentral is "bacterial SSU rRNA". It matches the Rfam family "Bacterial small subunit ribosomal RNA", at positions 10 to 573 of the family's 1533-position model. The record is from RNAcentral.
AGUUUGAUCAUGGCUCAGAAUGAACGUUGGCGGCGUGGAUUAGGCAUGCAAGUCGGACGGGGGGCAACCCCCGUGGCGUAAGGGUGAGUAAGGCGACGGUAACCAACCCCAGGGAUGGCCAUAGCCGCGGGAAACCGCGGGUAAUAGCCAGCGACGUCGGCACGGGGCAUCCCGGGCCGACCAAAGGUGCGAUUCCGCCCUGGGACGGGCCGUCGUGGUAUCAGCUUGUUGGCGAGGUAACGGCUCACCAAGGCUGGGACGCCUACCGGGCGUGCGAGCGUGGCCCGGCACACUGGGACUGAGACACUGCCCAGACUCCUACGGGAGGCUGCAGUCGAGAAUCUUCGGCAAUGGGCGCAAGCCUGACCGAGCGACGCCGCGUGGAGGACGAAGGCCUUCGGGUUGUAAACUCCUGUCGAGGGGGAGCAAGGUGCCCUGAAGAGGGGUGCUUGAGCGAACCCUGGAGGAAGCACGGGCUAAGUUCGUGCCAGCAGCCGCGGUAAGACGAACCGUGCGAACGUUAUUCGGAAUCACUGGGCUUAAAGCGCGUGUA